UUUGGAAGUAAAAGUCGUAACAAGGUUUCUGUAGGUGAACCUGCAAAAGGAUCUUUAGUGAAAGAUUUGGGCAGGCCCAUACGGACGCCAAAAAACUUCCGUGUCCGCCUACACGCGCUAUACUUCCCCCAAACCGUGUGCACUGUCUGGAGAAAGGCUUCAGAGAAGUUUUUGUGACUCUCUCGGUUUGGAAGGAAAAAGCGUAACAAGGUUUCCGUAGGUGAACCUGCGGAAGGAUCAUUACCUAGAGUUUGUGGGCUUUGCCUGCUAUCUCUUACCCAUGUCUUUUGAGUACUUACGUUUCCUCGGCGGGUCCGCCCGCCGAUUGGACAAAAUUAAACCCUUUGCAGUUGCAAUCAGCGUCUGAAAAACAUAAUAGUUACAACUUUCAACAACGGAUCUCUUGGUUCUGGCAUCGAUGAAGAACGCAGCGAAAUGCGAUAAGUAGUGUGAAUUGCAGAAUUCAGUGAAUCAUCGAAUCUUUGAACGCACAUUGCGCCCCUUGGUAUUCCAUGGGGCAUGCCUGUUCGAGCGUCAUUUGUACCUUCAAGCUCUGCUUGGUGUUGGGUGUUUGUCUCGCCUUUGCGUGUAGACUCGCCUCAAAACAAUUGGCAGCCGGCGUAUUGAUUUCGGAGCGCAGUACAUCUCGCGCUUUGCACUCAUAACGACGACGUCCAAAAAGUACAUGUGUGGGCGAAAAAGACCUCGGCGACAGCUGAGAUGGACGAAC
This 730-nucleotide ribosomal RNA is filed under the name fungal endophyte sp. E8-3362. RNAcentral's name for it is "eukaryotic LSU rRNA". The stretch from base 384 to 537 matches the Rfam family "5.8S ribosomal RNA". The record is from RNAcentral. Lineage: Eukaryota; Fungi.